UACAGAGGGUGCGAACGUUGCUCGGAAUUACUGGGCGUAAAGCGCGUGUAGGCGGAUUGCUAAGUCGGGCGUGAAAUCCCCAGGCUCAACCUGGGAACUGCGCUCGAAACUGGCAGUCUCGAGUAUCGGAGAGGGUGGCGGAAUUCCUGGUGUAGAGGUGGAAUUCGUAGAUAUCAGGAGGAACACCGGUGGCGAAGGCGGCCACCUGGACGAUUACUGACGCUGAGACGCGAAAGCGUGGGGAGCAAACAGG
RNAcentral lists this ribosomal RNA (253 nucleotides) under uncultured bacterium. RNAcentral's name for it is "partial 16S ribosomal RNA". It matches the Rfam family "Bacterial small subunit ribosomal RNA", at positions 524 to 776 of the family's 1533-position model. The record is from RNAcentral.